This 843-nucleotide long non-coding RNA is filed under the name Anser cygnoides (Swan goose). RNAcentral's name for it is "lncRNA (ENSACDG00005003963.1)". Lineage: Eukaryota; Metazoa; Chordata; Aves; Anseriformes; Anatidae. The record is from RNAcentral.
AAGAUUAUCAAAGAGCAGCUGAGGAAAGACUUGGGAAUUCAUGUGGAAGAAACUGAUGUUCCUUUGAAACUUCUUCAAAUUACUUAAUCUAGAUCUCUAAUCUAGAAGUUGGCUUGAUUCGGAGUAGAGAGAGGAGAGACAAAAUCUAGCCUGCUUAGCUAUUGGUAGCUUGUGGUCUUGGGGAAAAUAGUCCUUCUUCAGGAUCUGGUUCAAUACAGUUCAAAUGAAGUUGGAUGGAAAACUUCAGUGAAGGGAAUAGUAAUCACCCAGACAUUGUGUGGGUUUGCUUUCCUUCUUCUCCUGGAGGAAUGGAGGGUGUUGUUGACAGCCAGCCUAGAGCCCUCCAGUCUGCCUUCUGCACCUCUCCCAUGCACUACAGGAGCACCAAACGUGAUGCUUGUUGUGACUCACAGAACAGGAACCAGGUAUGUACAACUGAAAGCAUCCCUGAUAUAAAAACAAAUAAACAAAAAAAUCUAAAAGUCAAAAGCAAAACUUUGCUAAUGCUACAGGAAAUUAUCAAUAACAAAUACAAAGACUGAUGUAAAGGGACAUUAUAAUGGUUUGUCCUUGAUUAAAAAUAAUUCAGCUGUUUGAAUUGUGCAUAAACUGAACCAACAACACAAGGAAUUACUAAAAGUAGUGUAUCUCCAAGACUUAAGAUACCUUUUGCCAAUUUUGUGAUAAGAUUAGCCGUAUGUUUCAGUAUUAGAAGACUAUAUCAUAUUAAAGACAAAGUUGUUAACUUUUAUAAGACUUUUUUUUCCCUUCUAAAGCAGAAAAAUCAAAAGAGUGCAAACCUUUUCAAAGCAAAUAAAAAUGACUUAUGUUUUUUUCUCUGCA